This 337-nucleotide unclassified non-coding RNA is filed under the name soil metagenome. Its description in RNAcentral is "partial contains 5.8S ribosomal RNA, internal transcribed spacer 2, and large subunit ribosomal RNA". The stretch from base 1 to 120 matches the Rfam family "5.8S ribosomal RNA", at positions 35 to 154 of the family's 154-position model. The record is from RNAcentral.
GAUGAAGAACGUAGCGAAAUGCGAUACGUAGUGUGAAUUGCAGAAUUCAGUGAAUCAUCGAAUCUUUGAACGCACAUUGCACCUCUCGGUAUUCCGGGAGGUAUGCCUGUUCGAGCGUCAUUUGUACCCUCAAGCUCUGCUUGGUGUUGGGUGUUUGUUCCGCCUCUGUGUGUGAACUCGCCUCAAAACAAUUGGCAGCCGGCGUACUUGUUUCGGAGCGCAGCACAUUUUGCGAUCCAGAUCAACGUACAGCGGCAUCCAAGAAGCCUUAUUUAACGCUCUUGACCUCGGAUCAGGUAGGGAUACCCGCUGAACUUAAGCAUAUCAUAAGCGGAGG